AACGAACGCUGGCGGCAUGCCUAACACAUGCAAGUCGAACGAGACCUUCGGGUCUAGUGGCGCACGGGUGCGUAACGCGUGGGAACCUGCCCUUAGGUUCGGAAUAACUCCCCGAAAGGGGUGCUAAUACCGGAUAAUGUCUUCGGACCAAAGAUUUAUCGCCUUUGGAUGGGCCCGCGUUGGAUUCGCUAGUUGGUAGGGUAAAAGCCUACCAAGGCGACGAUCCAUAGCUGGUCUGAGAGGAUGAUCAGCCACACUGGGACUGAGACACGGCCCAGACUCCUACGGGAGGGAGCAGUGGGGAAUAUUGGACAAGGGGCGAAAGCCUGAUCCAGCAAUGCCGCGUGAGUGAUGAAGGCCUUAGGGUUGUAAAGCUCUUUUACCCGGGAUGAUAAUGACAGUACCGGGAGAAUAAGCUCCGGCUAACUCCGUG
This 433-nucleotide ribosomal RNA is filed under the name uncultured bacterium. RNAcentral's name for it is "partial 16S ribosomal RNA". It matches the Rfam family "Bacterial small subunit ribosomal RNA", at positions 29 to 507 of the family's 1533-position model. The record is from RNAcentral.